Molecule: small nuclear RNA, 93 nt
Filed under: Catagonus wagneri (Chacoan peccary)
Lineage: Eukaryota; Metazoa; Chordata; Mammalia; Artiodactyla; Tayassuidae
Description: U2 spliceosomal RNA (ENSCWAG00000020372.1)
Rfam family: U2 spliceosomal RNA (bases 1-82)
About the family: U2 is a small nuclear RNA (snRNA) component of the spliceosome (involved in pre-mRNA splicing).
Source: RNAcentral
AUCGCUUCUCGGCCUUUUGGCUAAGAUCAAGUGUAGUAUCUGAUAGGUGUGGACAGCGUUGGGUGCUGGAAGGCAACUCCUCCUUUACCUCCU